RNAcentral lists this ribosomal RNA (698 nucleotides) under uncultured Bacilli bacterium. RNAcentral's name for it is "bacterial SSU rRNA". It matches the Rfam family "Bacterial small subunit ribosomal RNA", at positions 64 to 733 of the family's 1533-position model. Lineage: Bacteria; Bacillati; Bacillota; Bacilli. The record is from RNAcentral.
GAGCGGAACUAACAGAUUUACUUCGGUAAUGACGUUAGGAAAGCGAGCGGCGGAUGGGUGAGUAACACGUGGGGAACCUGCCCCAUAGUCUGGGAUACCACCUGGAAACAGGUGCUAAUACCGGAUAAGAAAGCAGAUCGCAUGAUCAGCUUUUAAAAGGCGGCGUAAGCUGUCGCUAUGGGAUGGCCCCGCGGUGCAUUAGCUAGUUGGUAAGGUAAAGGCUUACCAAGGCGAUGAUGCAUGGCCGAGUUGAGAGACUGAUCGGCCACAUUGGGACUGAGACACGGCCCAAACUCCUACGGGAGGCAGCAGUAGGGAAUCUUCCACAAUGGACGCAAGUCUGAUGGAGCAACGCCGCGUGAGUGAAGAAGGUUUUCGGAUCGUAAAGCUCUGUUGUUGGUGAAGAAGGAUAGAGGUAGUAACUGGCCUUUAUUUGACGGUAAUCAACCAGAAAGUCACGGCUAACUACGUGCCAGCAGCCGCGGUAAUACGUAGGUGGCAAGCGUUGUCCGGAUUUAUUGGGCGUAAAGCGAGCGCAGGCGGAAGAAUAAGUCUGAUGUGAAAGCCCUCGGCUUAACCGAGGAACUGCAUCGGAAACUGUUUUUCUUGAGUGCAGAAGAGGAGAGUGGAACUCCAUGUGUAGCGGUGGAAUGCGUAGAUAUAUGGAAGAACACCAGUGGCGAAGGCGGCUCUCUGGU